Molecule: long non-coding RNA, 629 nt
Filed under: Equus caballus (horse)
Lineage: Eukaryota; Metazoa; Chordata; Mammalia; Perissodactyla; Equidae
Description: lncRNA (ENSECAG00000053613.1)
Source: RNAcentral
CUUUGGAAAUGAUUCCACAUGGUCUCCUAUUUGCUGGAAGUAAACUCUACUUUGUGUGACAACUUCUUCUGAUAGAAGUCUGAUUUUAACCCACCAGGAAGUGAGCCCACUUUGCUUCAGCAACAAAAUUUGGUGACCCAGAUGGGACCUCUGUCCCUCUGAGGUUCCAGUCCUCCAGCCACCCAGGUUCCUAACGGCUGGAGAAUGAGCAGCAGCAGCUCCUCAGGCUAACUCAUUCAUGCUACUAGGGGGCGGGGACUGGACCUCACAAGGCAGCCUCCCUUCUCUGUGCUUGUGCCACCAGCUUGACAUUGCUGCCCCGUCAGGAGACCUAGCAACCACACUGAGAACCUUGCUCAGAGGAUCUCCUGAUGGAGGGGUAUGAGUCCCUUCUAGACAAAGGAUUGCACAGCCCGGAGGAACGGUAGCCAUUCAUCUGUUGACUAGUCAUGUCUGACCUGAUAAGGCUAGAAACUGAUUGCUGCACUCACCUGUGACCACCCAGCUCAAGACAAUAGACUUGCCUCCUGCUACGCCCUAGGCCCUCCGCCCUCCGAGAGAGCAGACCCACUACCUGCUGUGUCCAUCAAGUGCUGUGCCGACAGGGCAAUCUUGUGACUAUUGUGGGG